RNAcentral lists this ribosomal RNA (851 nucleotides) under uncultured archaeon. RNAcentral's name for it is "bacterial SSU rRNA". It matches the Rfam family "Archaeal small subunit ribosomal RNA", at positions 18 to 873 of the family's 1478-position model. The record is from RNAcentral.
CGGAGGCUACCGCUAUUGGAGUCCGAUUAAGACAUGCGAGUCGAGAGCUUUCGGAGCUCGGCAUACUGCUCAGUAACACGUGGGUAACCUGCCCUGUGCUGGGGGAUAACCUCGGGAAACUGAGAACAAUACCCCAUAGUCCACUACGCCUGGAACGGUGAGUGGAUGAAAGCCCCGGCGGCACAGGAUGGGCCUGCGGCGUAUCAGGUAGUAGGGGGUGUAAAGUACCCUCUAGCCUUCGACGCGUACGGGUUGUGAGAGCAAUAGCCCGGAGAUGGAUUCUGAGACACGAAUCCAGGUCCUACGGGACGCAGCAGUCGCGAAACCUUGACAAUGCGGGAAACCGUGAUCAGGGGACUCCAAGUGCCAGGAGUAAGAUCCUGUGCUUUUCUUUUCUCUUCAAAGGAUUUGGAAUAAGAGGUGGGUAAGGACGGUGCCAGCCGCCGCGGUAAUACCGGCGCCUCGAGUGGUAGUCGAUUUUAUUGGGCCUAAAACGUCCGUCGCCGGUCUGGUGCAUUCGUGGGUAAAUCAACCCGCUCAACGGGUUGAAUUCUGCGAGCACGGCCAGACUAGGGACCGGGAGAGGUGUGGGGUACGCUCGGGGUAGGGGUAAAAUCCUGUCAUCCCGAGCGGACCACCUGUUGCGAAGGCUCCACACUAGAACGGAUCCGACGGUCAGGGACGAAGCCUAGGGGCACGAACCCGGAUUAGAUACCCGGGUAGUCCUAGGUGUAAACCUGUGGACUUGGUGUUGGGAGCUCCCAGAGGGCUCUCAGUGCCKUAGCGAAGGUGAUAAGUCCACUGCCUGGGGAGUACGGUCGCAAGCUGAAAUCUUAAAGGAAUUGGCGGGG